ACAUAUAUAUAUAGAUAGAUACAUAUAUAUAUAUAUAUAUAUAUAUAUAUAUAUAUAUAUAUAUGUAGAUAUAUAUGUGUGUGUAUGUUUGUAUGUACGUAUGUGUGUGUAUACACACAUGCAGCUAAAAGAACAUUUGGCCUUGAUAAUCUGGAAAUAUUUUAAUAGAUUUUCUUUUUUUCUUGUAAACAAACAUUACUUUGUAUGAGAACAACUACAAACCAAAAAAAAAGUCAUUCUUAUUUAUUUUUUGUCUUCAAAUAUUUUUGGAAUUUCCAAUUUCAGUGACUUAUGAAAUAAUCAUUGCUGUGGAUGCAGCAAAAUUUGAUGUUUUGUUUUUUUUUUUUCAAAACUACUGCAAUGUGUUGGCAUCUUGGCCAUUCUUGCACAUUCUUGCACAGGCAAGAAAUAUUUGUCAAAGAGAAAUUCUAUUUAAAAUCUAAUCUAGAAUCAGUGCCUAAUUCUGUGGGAAACAUGAGCCAAAUACAUUAGAAAGAUUGAUCUGUACAAAUAUCUUGCCUUUUUUAAAACUGAUGGAAUUAUGUGACUGUUGUAGGUUUCUCUUUUUUGUAUUUUCAGUUAAAAAAUAUUUGAAAUUAUUUUCAUUUUGGUCGAAAUAAACAAAUGGAAUAUAUGUA
Octopus sinensis (East Asian common octopus) is the source of this 638-nucleotide long non-coding RNA. RefSeq lists it as uncharacterized. The transcript has 2 exons. The record is from RefSeq and is a predicted model, not a curated record. Lineage: Eukaryota; Metazoa; Mollusca; Cephalopoda; Octopoda; Octopodidae.